UGGUGACCCUUGAAAAAAAAGAUCUCUCUUU
Molecule: non-coding RNA, 31 nt
Filed under: Rattus norvegicus (Norway rat)
Lineage: Eukaryota; Metazoa; Chordata; Mammalia; Rodentia; Muridae
Source: RNAcentral